UUUUUCCCCCUUCUUUCGAUCGCUACCUGAUCCCCCCCCCCCCCCCCCCCAAUUUACAGCGCCAGCCGGGUAAGCGCUUGGGACAGCCGCUCCUGCAUGAUUAUUCCACUUCAGCGCAGCUUCUCUGUAACCAGCCAACUUCUUCCCUUAUGUUUCAUGGUUUAAUUACAUGUGGUGUUCAAACAUGUAUUUGAAAAAGUUUUCCCAAUACAGCAACUUUUAUUUUGAAACAAAAACAACUGAUUUGAUCAGUAGAGAUCAAACUGUAAACAGCAACUGUUCCAUUAAAUAGUAACUUCCUCUUUUAUAGCCUGCAAGAGAGGCUGUAAAAGAAAAGUCAGUAACUGCUCCUUCCUCCUUUCUCUUCCUUACUAUCUCUAGCAAACAGGGCAAGGAGGGUUGGGCUCAUAGGACUGAUUCAAUCAGAGCAUGGACCAGCUUACUCGCCUCUUUUUCUUUGAGCAGUGCACCAUAGAAACUUAGUUACUGAAGGAGCAUUCACUGUGUCUUCUCACUCACCCUGUCCCUUCACAUAGUAUAGUUCUGGGGAUUAAGACCAACUAACUAUGUCUUCACCAUCCAGUAACAGGGUGAGUGAGUGAGCAAGGUCCUUCUUUCUAUUUCCUGGAUAGCUAAGCUGAAUUCAUUUCUUGCCUUUGCUGAAAGAGACAAGGUAUGCUGUCUGUUAGAGUUUCAGAUCAGCAAGCCCAGGGAAUGGCAGCCAUCACUUGCACAAGUCUGUCUGCCAAGAGCAGGAAAAAGUGAGUGACUUCUUUUCACUCCCUCCUCCCCCACAUAGCAUGUUUCAAUUGCUCCUACAUCCACUCACUUGCUUUUAGGCAAGUGAGGAAGGGGAGAUUUGGAGUCUGGGUCUGUCUAGAGCUAUUGUUCAAGCAGUGAGCUCUGCUCACUUACCCUGUCUUUGGGUGGUGCAGAAUAUACAAUUGGUUAUGGAAGGGGAAGAUAUCAUAUCCUUUUACUUGCUCAGCCGUAUUCUCUCUCCCUCCAAUAGUGAGACUUCUGUCCAGUGUAACAAAUCUUCCCUGUUAUGAUGCUCAGAGAGAGAAAAAGAGAGAUGAUGAGCAAGAUAAGGCAUCAGUUGUUCCUUGCAGGAAAUGUUACUGCCUUCACAUUGCCUUGCUGGUCAGUAGCAAGAAGAACUGGGCAAGUAAUGGUUAUGGAUGUCUCUAUUCACUUGCCUGGUUUCUUCCUCUCUGGUGUGUUAUUUACUUGCUCAUUUUAUCUCUUUGGGCAUGAAAUAUUGGACUUAUUGGGAGGGAUGUGUCAUCCAGAAGGAGGGAAGGAGCAGGAAGAGACACUGGCAUGCUCAUUUACUUUGUCUACACACUUAAUCUUUCACACCGAAAGGAGAAAAUCAAGUGAGCAAAAGGUAGGAGAAGAAUCAUUUCUGUGCACUCACACAUCCUCUCACUAGGUUGUGUGGAGGAUGGGGCAAGUUGGGCACAAUUCUCACCACUAUACCAUACAGCAAGAAUGAGAGAGGGGAGGGAGAUUGUAGCUGGUGAGGAAGAAUGAGAUGGCUGCUGCUGGCAGUGCCUAUCCUUGUAGUUGCACUGCCCAGAGAUAUGGUAAGACAGUUAUUUGUCCUUUUUCUCUAGACAAUAGGUGGACCCAUUUCAACCUAUCAAGGUACCCAGAGACAGUUAAGAGAGUGGAGGGAGGAGCAGCUGUUGCCUGCUCUGGUUUGUACACUUUGUUGUCCUCCCACAGAAGUGAUAAAGCUCAGAGGAAAAGGUGCCAACAGGUCUGGGGAUCUUAGGCCUUCUUGGCUGGGAGUCCCUCUUUCUAUUUAUUUUUAUGCUCUGCUGAUGAGGUAGUGGAAAAGAGGAGGGAUUGCUAUUUACUUUUUUAUUUUCAUAAAAAAGAAAUAAGAUACAAAAAGAUAGGAAAGAAAAAGGAUACCAAGGGAUAUUAAUGAAAUAGAGCAUAUAAUUUCAAUAUCUAACCUGUUCAUGAGAGAGGAAAAUUUCUAUCUCCUGUAGCCACAGUUACAUCAAUCAAUUCCUGCUAUUUACUGUUUACUGUUUGCUUUUUCCUCAUCUCCCUUGAGUGCAGGAGGCUAGCUAAUGCUGGGAAAGGCCCUGCCCCCAGAGCUGGGAAGACAGACUUUGAUCUGAACUUCUGAGAGGAGGUGGGGUCUUCCCCAAAGCUCUAGUUCAUUCUUCUGCCUUGUGGUGGGAGACCAAAAUAAAAAAGUAGAGGAAAAGGAAAGAGAAAGAAAAUGAAAAAGAAAAAUGAAGAGGAGGAGAAAGAGCUAACCCAAGAGGCUCAGCAGCAGAGAAGAGUCCUGGCUUAAUCAGGAGGAAGAAGAUCUUCACCCCUCUACUUCCUUCCACUGGAAAAUGUUCAGUGGCCAACACUUGUGGCUUCCUCUUAUGGACACUCUAGCUCCUUUGGCUCCUCUGCUAGACCCCAGGGACAGUCCCAGCUGAUCCAUCUUCUAGGUCUCUCUCACAUGACUCCACUGGACAUAGUUCAGCAGACAGAUCUCCACAUUACUCUCCAGUCCUUUUUGAGUCCCAAGAAGUAAGAGAGGGGUCAUAUUGAUGGUGCUUAAGGAAGCCUAUCACCACAUGAGGAUGGGGGCCCCACUAGGAACUAGAAGAUUUUGGGAAGGCCAUGAGCAGCUCUCCCAGAUCCAAGCAUAGCUCCAUGAAAGGGGAGAGACAUUUUACCCACACUCACAGGUGUGGUUCUGUUUGCCCAGCUACAGGGAGUGCUGCCACAGCAGGCCCCACCCUUCAGGGACACUGCAAUAUCACUGGUGGUCAGCUUCCUCCUCAGAGUUGAAGGCAGGGUAAGGGGCUUUCCAGAUAGCUCCAGAAACAGAACUUUCUUUCCUUCACAAUAGACCUAGUCAAUCCUCACAGCAGACUUGUGACAAGGGUAGGCAAUGUUCUCCAUCCUCCACUUACUCCUCUGACUCCUGGACCCACUUGUCCCUCUCCCCUAAUCUGUAACCUCUUCAGACAUGGAUGAGGGGGAGCUCACCAAUGGGACAAGCAGCCUCAAAGCAACCUAUUUCUAUCAGAGGUCUUUCCAGAUCUGAUUUCCAGUGCCCUGAAAAUUCUGGAGCUGAUGGACCAAGAGGACAGACAAUCCUUUGGUAAGACCUUCAUCCAGCAACAGGAUCUUCAUUUUCAGAAAUUAUUUCUUUGCUAUUUGGACAAUGGGGAGAAUCGGGUCCAAAAAUAACCAGAAUUGCUUGGAAAAAAAUGAAAAUGUAAUGAAGACAAUAACAGUGAUGAGAAAAUUUGCAGACUUUUGUCUCACAAACACUGGGUUGUGGUAGAAUCAACUAUUGUAGGUAACGUUUUGAAAAGCAUAUUUUAAAAGUAACACAAACCUUAUGCUUCUGUCACAUUACAGUACUGUAUAAAGCUAAGUUGGAUAAAAUCUUUUAAACUAUAAAAUUUGCUGGGAAACUAAAAUUAGUAUUUUAAUGGUUUUAACAGUCACUUUUGAUUUGAUUUAUUUUUAUUGGUUAUAUAUUGUGUUAUUAUAUUGUGGUACUGAUUUAUUGGACUUUGAUUUUAAUGGUUGUAAACUUCCUGAGAAGUUAUACAUGUAAAAGUUUUAAAUAAAUAAAUACUCAUCUUCAGCCACUCA
This is a long non-coding RNA of Varanus komodoensis (Komodo dragon), 3630 nucleotides long. RefSeq lists it as uncharacterized. Lineage: Eukaryota; Metazoa; Chordata; Lepidosauria; Squamata; Varanidae. The record is from RefSeq and is a predicted model, not a curated record. The transcript has 2 exons.